Molecule: unclassified non-coding RNA, 344 nt
Filed under: soil metagenome
Description: partial contains 5.8S ribosomal RNA, internal transcribed spacer 2, and large subunit ribosomal RNA
Rfam family: 5.8S ribosomal RNA (bases 1-120)
Source: RNAcentral
GAUGAAGAACGCAGCGAAAUGCGAUACGUAAUGUGAAUUGCAGAAUUCAGUGAAUCAUCGAGUCUUUGAACGCACAUUGCGCCCCCUGGUAUUCCGGGGGGCAUGCCUGUCCGAGCGUCAUUGCUGCCCUCAAGCACGGCUUGUGUGUUGGGCCUCCGUCCUCCUCCCGGGGGACGGGCCCGAAAAGCAGCGGCGGCACCGCGUCCGGUCCUCGAGCGUAUGGGGCUUCGUCACCCGCUCUUGUAGGCCCGGCCGGCGCUUGCCGACACAUCAAUCUUUUUUCCAGGUUGACCUCGGAUCAGGUAGGGAUACCCGCUGAACUUAAGCAUAUCAAUAAGCGGAGG